This 325-nucleotide ribosomal RNA is filed under the name uncultured Nitrospirota bacterium. RNAcentral's name for it is "bacterial SSU rRNA". It matches the Rfam family "Bacterial small subunit ribosomal RNA", at positions 29 to 351 of the family's 1533-position model. The record is from RNAcentral. Lineage: Bacteria; Pseudomonadati; Nitrospirota.
AGCGAACGCUGGCGGCGUGCUUAACACAUGCAAGUCGAACGGCUCUCGAGUAGCAAUACUUGAGGGUAGUGGCGAACGGGUGAGUAACACGUGGGUAAUCUCCCCCCGAGUGAGGGAUAAGCUUGCGAAAGCGGGUCUAAUACCGCAUGACGCUUCGGGACUCAAGUCUUCGAAGUCAAAGCCGUAAGGCGCUUGGGGAUGAGCCUGCGUCCUAUUAGCUAGUUGGUAGGGUAAUGGCCUACCAAGGCUAUGAUGGGUAGCCGGCCUGAGAGGGUGAUCGGCCACACUGGGACUGAGACACGGCCCAGACUCCUACGGGAGGCAG